This 1830-nucleotide small RNA is filed under the name Oryza sativa Japonica Group (Japanese rice). RNAcentral's name for it is "sRNA Os05g0466000". The record is from RNAcentral. Lineage: Eukaryota; Viridiplantae; Streptophyta; Magnoliopsida; Poales; Poaceae.
UCAUGCACAUUAUUAUAUUUGAAUUUUAGGUGAAUAUUCCAUGCAUCUUUUACGUAUGGUCUCUCCACUUCCGUUGAAUACCGCAACACUUUCUGACCUUAUUCUCAAAUAAAACUUCAUUCAGCCCUGUUUAAGCUUUAAUUGGACCAAUUGAAAUGAAGAAUUUCCAAUUUCCGACAGAGAUCUGUCGAGUGCACAAAGAUUGUGUAUCCUUAUCGUGUCCACAAUCAAGAACUAAUAAUUGUAAUUGGUGAAGGGUUAGUAGGCCAGCUCCUAAUUUUCUUAUCAGAGUCAACAUUAGCAUCCACAGGCACUUUUGUUCAUGCCAUGUGUUCUUCCCUCACAAUCUCCUUAUGAUUGAUUUGUCCACGGGAGAAUUGCCAUCACUUCGGUUCUUGCUUCAUUUCUUCUCUGGGUAAUGGAAUAAGGUGUGAGUGAAACACCUCACAUGAUGCCUUUCUUCUCCCUCCACUUGAGAAAGCAAAUUGUUCCUGUAAUUUGAAAUCGGCCGGCUUGCUGAGUUGCUGACUGUGCUGGUAAUUACCGGCAACAUGCUUUGCUCCUAGCAUUAUUGAUUAUCUUGUUUUAUUUUUUUUUUCCACAUCACAUAAAUGAAACAGUGUUGGGAGUUAAAUUUACUAGCACAGGAGCCAACUAAUCUUGUACCAGGCACAUUCAUCAGAAUUAUAUAUAUGCAGGCUUAGGCUACACAAAAGCUUGUACUAAACAGUACUACUAGUUAGACUUGUCAUCAUAGUGAAGUUAACAAAGUUAUCACUUAUCAGUGCAUCGUACUUGGCAUUAGCGGCCGACAGAGAAUCCGCCAGCCACACUCCCCACCUCUAGGGGAGGGGAGUGACAGUCAAGUAUCCCUUCAUUCUCCCUCUACAAUGCAGCUCAUGCAUAGCCUUUUGAUGGAAAAGCAGAAAUUCCAGAGAGGCAGCAAGAGCAUACCAUUUUGAUUAGCUCACCACUGGCUCUCCUGGUUGCCCUAAAGUAAGAAGUAGUGUAGUACACUUUUGUAGUUUUGUUGCUAAUCUAUUCGGCUAAUUCCUACUAUAUUGAUUUUGGAAUCUUGUGUUCUUUGGAUUUACUUACCUUUGUAUUCCUGCAAGGGUCAAGUGCUCAGGGGCGGAUCUACAGUAUAAGCGUCAGUGUCAAGCGACACCGAUGACUUUCGGCAAAACCUAUAACAAAACUGCUUAUCCAUAUACUAUAACACUAUGUUCUAAGUAUAAUUAGCAUACUAUGACACCGACAGACACGUUAUGACACCAACAAACUGAUUUUCUGGAUCCGCCACUGCAAGUGCUGACAGAGUUAUUGCAGACUCGCAGUCCGUCUUCAGUUGCAAACAGUUUGGAGGGUAGUUCUUGGUCGUCCAUUACUUCACUGAAGAUUCCGAAAUCCAACAAAAUUCAGGCCGUUCUUCAGAAAGAAGCAAGCACUGCAGAGCUGAACUCUGCUUCAUUGGAUGGUCAAAAAGGAAGGCUGCUGAAGAUUGGCUGCAUUUGGGCUCUUAGGAAUCGAUAUGUGCCUGCAGAAAGAUCGGUCAAGAUUAUUCCUCACGGUUAAUGCUGCACUGGCUGUUCAUUUGGUUAAAUUUUGCUUGAUAGCAGUAGGAUGUUUAGAGCUGCCAGCUUCAGGCUUCCGUAGUGCCGUGUUCAAGAAAUCAGUGUGUUGAUUCUAUGACUGAAAUAGUUUGCAAGACAUGGAUAGUAUAUAGAGAAAAUGUCGCUGCUUUUGCCAAUCGCAUCAUCAAGGCAGCAAAGCUAUUCCACUAUCUUGAUUCUAUGACAGUUGAAAGAGAUAUAAGCAUCUACGUAACUU